This is an RNA transcript of Gastrolobium bilobum, 2003 nucleotides long. RefSeq lists it as uncharacterized. The record is from RefSeq and is a predicted model, not a curated record. The transcript has 4 exons. Lineage: Eukaryota; Viridiplantae; Streptophyta; Magnoliopsida; Fabales; Fabaceae.
AACAAACCCAAUUUGGUUUCGCUGGACGAUUUCUAUCGCAACGAGCUCCCUUCCCUCCUUCACCAACGAAACCCUAACCCUUUCCUCACCACUCAAGAGCUUUCCAAACUUAUGCAAUGGAAGCUCACCCGCGGAAAAUGGAGGUUACUUACUAUCUUCUAUCUUCUUUUUUUUGGAGUUACCCAACCCUAAUUAUCUCUUUGAGACGAGUUGGCUCCCUCCGGUAUCUCCACGAGCUUCCACUCUUUGAACCGGCUAUGGGACUAAUCCGGAGUGCGGCCGCGUCUCUUGGAUUUUGUUUCUUCGUUAGACGACGCCGUUGUGAAAUCGGCUUCUCAGAAGGCUUUUCAGAGUCUUCCUGAUAUAUCCAAAGCGGUUUCUGAGCUGAACGUCUUGAAAGGCGUUGGUCCCGCCACUGCCUCGGCCGUUUUGGCUGCUUUCGCCCCUCACUUAACCCCCUUCAUGUCUGACCAGGCUAUGGAGGCAGCUCUUGGAAACUCGAAAGAUUAUUCGCUGAAGCAAUAUCUAAUAUUCGCCAAUAAAUAGCAGAUGAAAGCAAAGGACUUAAGUUCAGAAGGGGAUUCCUUUACCCCAUCCGAUGUAGAAAGGGCUUUGUGGAGUUUUGCUGUACGGAAGUCAUCAGCACCCAAAUUAAAUGAGGACCCUAAGACCAAUACAAGCAGGAGCUCUAAAAGAAAGAGGAAAAAUUGACAUAGCAGCAUACCAAGAAAUGAUAUUACAAGUAAUAUUUAUUCUUUCUUUGGUCUGCUGGUUUUAUUUCCUUGUUGGGGGGAUUUGUAGUUCAAUGUUGGACACGUUUAGUCACUGAUUAUUAUUGGAUAUUUUAGCUUUUAAGUUGUGGCCUAAUUAAAGUUAUUUGUUUUUUGCUAACGUUCAUUUUCUUGAAAGUUGGUCUGUGAGAACUUUGAUGCUUGCAUCCAUGUUUUUCGGCGUUCAUGUUGUUAAUGCUUACACAACACGGCAGAUUAAUAAUUUCUAAAAUAUGUAACAGAGUGGAAUAGAGAGAAUCUUGGCACAAUGGUUGGUGUUGUUGCCAUGUCAGUCUCUUGCAAUGCGAAAUUUCUUUAGUACAACUAUUGAGUGCAACUUAUGUAAGUCUCGGAAUACAUAAUUAUAAUAUUAAUUUUUUUUUUCUCUCCUCAUAAAGUUAUUAGCUGAUUUGAAGAGAGAAAAAAAACUUUAAUUUUUUCACACGAGGUUCAUUUAGACAGAGGGAUCUCUGACUGGAGAAGCUUUUUCGGCUGUUGGUUUCUUUGGAUUUGACACAACAAGGAAAUCCAUGAACCUGAUUUUAAAAGACCUGAGAAUUCUUUUGCCGAAGUGCUAAAGUUUCUACAUGAUAUUAAUCACUCUCUUGCUAAGCCUCAGAUCAGUGCGUCCACUGCUGUCUCAACUCCUAGUGCAUCGCAUUAGGUUCGACCUUCUCCCAAGUGGCUGAAAUUGAAUGUUGAUGGGGCUGUGACUCGUGGGAAAGCUGCUUGUGGUAGCCUUGUUCAUGACUGUCAUGGUAUAUGGCUAGAUGGCUUCAAAUCUUUUCUGGGGUGCUAUUCCCCUUUCCUUGCUGAGCUCUGAGCUAUCCACAAUGGCCGGUUUUAAAAAUCUAAUAGUUGAGAGUGACUCUUCUCAAAUUAUUAGAUUGUUUACCUUAUUCGAUAAUGAAGCUUGAGAACUGCAUUUAGUGGUUAGGAUUCGAGCUCUUGUUGACAGAUCUUGGAAUAUCAAGUUUAUUCACGCUUUGAAAAGUAGUAAUUUUUGUGCUGACUGAUCGCAAAGAUGGCUCUAUCCUGCCCCUUGGGUACAUCGGUUAUAGCUUCUCUUGACCAGUCUAUUCAGAAGUUGAUCUCCUAUGAUGUUGUUGGGUCCUCCAGCCAGAUUUGGCUUGUUGCCCCUAAUUAGUCUCUCUGUUUUCUUUUUUUUCCUUUGUUUUUGGGGCUUUGCCCCUUCAUUGUAUGGAGAAAAAAAACAACAAUAAAAACUAUGUA